This 117-nucleotide non-coding RNA is filed under the name Enterobacterales bacterium 8AC. RNAcentral's name for it is "ALIL". It matches the Rfam family "ALIL pseudoknot". Lineage: Bacteria; Pseudomonadati; Pseudomonadota; Gammaproteobacteria; Enterobacterales. The record is from RNAcentral.
GGCUUAUUUUGCGAAGGCGGAGUACGACCGUCUGUGGAAAAAAUAAUGCCGCUGCUGGAUACCCUCAGCGGUAGUCACGGGGUCGGACCGGUAUGUCAUGAGCUGAAUAUCGCCCCG